This 409-nucleotide ribosomal RNA is filed under the name bacterium. Its description in RNAcentral is "partial 16S ribosomal RNA". It matches the Rfam family "Bacterial small subunit ribosomal RNA", at positions 355 to 776 of the family's 1533-position model. The record is from RNAcentral.
UGGGGAAUAUUGCACAAUGGGCGAAAGCCUGAUGCAGCGACGCCGCGUGAGGGAUGACGGCCUUCGGGUUGUAAACCUCUUUCAGCAGGGACGAAGCGCAAGUGACGGUACCUGCAGAAGAAGCACCGGCUAACUACGUGCCAGCAGCCGCGGUAAUACGUAGGGUGCAAGCGUUGUCCGGAAUUACUGGGCGUAAAGAGUUCGUAGGCGGUUUGUCGCGUCGUUUGUGAAAACCAGCAGCUCAACUGCUGGCUUGCAGGCGAUACGGGCAGACUUGAGUACUGCAGGGGAGACUGGAAUUCCUGGUGUAGCGGUGAAAUGCGCAGAUAUCAGGAAGAACACCGGUGGCGAAGGCGGGUCUCUGGGCAGUAACUGACGCUGAGGAACGAAAGCGUGGGUAGCGAACAGG